UACGAAGGGGGCUAGCGUUGUUCGGAAUUACUGGGCGUAAAGCGCGCGCAGGCGGUUUUCCAAGUCAGUGGUGAAAGCCCGGAGCUCAACUCCGGAAAUGCCAUUGAAACUGUAAACUUGAGGACGAGAGAGGUGAGUGGAAUUCCCAGUGUAGAGGUGAAAUUCGUAGAUAUUGGGAAGAACACCGGUGGCGAAGGCGGCUCACUGGCUCGUUUCUGACGCUCAGGCGCGAUAGCGUGGGGAUCAAACAGG
RNAcentral lists this ribosomal RNA (252 nucleotides) under uncultured bacterium. Its description in RNAcentral is "partial 16S ribosomal RNA". It matches the Rfam family "Bacterial small subunit ribosomal RNA", at positions 524 to 776 of the family's 1533-position model. The record is from RNAcentral.